This 27-nucleotide unclassified non-coding RNA is filed under the name Mus musculus (house mouse). Its description in RNAcentral is "oocyte_clustered_small_RNA5310". Lineage: Eukaryota; Metazoa; Chordata; Mammalia; Rodentia; Muridae. The record is from RNAcentral.
UCGGCAACCGAUAUCACAAACACCUGG